GUCCGACAUGGAAUCUAUGUUUUGAUUUGUUUAGUAUUUUAUUUUUUUUAAAUUCUUUUUUUAGUUAAGUUAGAAUUUUUACACUAUAAAUAAGGCCCUUGACUAUUAUUGUAAUUAGUUUAUUUUGAAGAUUAUUGAAUCAAAACUCAUGAGAAGAGAGUUUCUUCUUCUUUUCUCUAUCUUUCUUUAUUUCGUGCAUCUUUCAUCCUUCUUUCCCAAUGAUCGUCAUGCUAUAGGCUGCA
RNAcentral lists this long non-coding RNA (242 nucleotides) under Elaeis guineensis (African oil palm). RNAcentral's name for it is "long non-coding RNA (EGUI_LNC020554)". Lineage: Eukaryota; Viridiplantae; Streptophyta; Magnoliopsida; Arecales; Arecaceae. The record is from RNAcentral.